Molecule: ribosomal RNA, 468 nt
Filed under: uncultured bacterium
Lineage: Bacteria
Description: partial 16S ribosomal RNA
Rfam family: Bacterial small subunit ribosomal RNA
Source: RNAcentral
GACGAACGCUGGCGGCGUGCCUAACACAUGCAAGUCGAACGGAACCUCCCUGCUUUUGUGCGGUAGUGGACUGGCGGAAGGGGUAGCAACCCUUGAGUAACCAGCCCUUCACUUUAGGAUAAGUUAAGCCAACAGGGGGUAUUCACAGAUAGGAGUUCAUGCUGCAUGGUGGGGCUGGGAAAGUUUCGGUGGUUGGUGAUGGACUCGCGGCUUAUCAGCUUGUUGGUGGGGUAGUGGAUUACCAAGGCUUUGACGGGUAGCCGGCCUGAGAGGGGGACCGGCCAAAUCGCGCCUGAGAUACGACCCAGACUCCUCCGGGAGGCAGCGGUGGGGAAUAGUACACAAUGGGCGGAAGCCUGACGCAGCAACGCCGAGUGCCGGAUGAGGGGCAUCGGGUUGUAAACUGCAUCCGCUUGUGACGAAGCGUGAGUGACGGUAAUGGGUAAAGAAGCACGGGCUAACUACGUG